RNAcentral lists this ribosomal RNA (512 nucleotides) under uncultured bacterium. RNAcentral's name for it is "partial 16S ribosomal RNA". It matches the Rfam family "Bacterial small subunit ribosomal RNA", at positions 30 to 523 of the family's 1533-position model. The record is from RNAcentral.
AUUGAACGCUGGCGGCGUGCUUAACACAUGCAAGUCGAACACGAAAGGGGCUUCGGUCCUGAGUAAAGUGGCGCACGGGUGAGUAACGCGUGGAUAAUCUGCCCUUAUGAUUGGAAUAACAGUUGGAAACGGCUGCUAAUACCGGAUACGCUCAAAAUGAACUUUUUGAGGAAAGAUGGCCUCUGCUUGCAUGCUAUCGCAUAAGGAUGAGUCCGCGUCCCAUUAGCUUGGUGGCGGGGUAACGGCCCACCAAGGCAACGAUGGGUAGCCGAUUUGAGAGGAUGAUCGGCCACACUGGAACUGAAACACGGUCCAGACUCCUACGGGAGGCAGCAGUGGGGAAUAUUGCGCAAUGGGCGAAAGCCUGACGCAGCGACGCCGCGUGAGGGAUGAAGGUUUUCGGAUCGUAAACCUCUGUCAGAAGGGAAGAAACUACGUUGUGCUAAUCAGCAGCGUACUGACGGUACCUUCAAAGGAAGCACCGGCUAACUCCGUGCCAGCCGCCGCCGUAA